UACGUAGGGUGCGAGCGUUAAUCGGAAUUACUGGGCGUAAAGUGUGCGCAGGCGGCUGCGCAAGUCGAGUGUGAAAGCCCCGGGCUUAACUUGGGAAUUGCGCUCGAAACUACGUGGCUGGAGUGUGGCAGAGGAAGGUGGAAUUCCACGUGUAGCGGUGAAAUGCGUAGAGAUGUGGAGGAACACCAAUGGCGAAGGCAGCCUUCUGGGCCAACACUGACGCUCAUGCACGAAAGCGUGGGGAGCAAACAGG
This 253-nucleotide ribosomal RNA is filed under the name uncultured bacterium. Its description in RNAcentral is "partial 16S ribosomal RNA". It matches the Rfam family "Bacterial small subunit ribosomal RNA", at positions 524 to 776 of the family's 1533-position model. The record is from RNAcentral.